Long non-coding RNA from Trichoplusia ni (cabbage looper), 728 nucleotides. RefSeq lists it as uncharacterized. The record is from RefSeq and is a predicted model, not a curated record. The transcript is spliced from 2 exons. NCBI's taxonomy places the organism in Eukaryota, Metazoa, Arthropoda, Insecta, Lepidoptera, Noctuidae.
UUAAUAUCGAUUUGUAAUAAUGAAUUAUAAUUUGUUAUUAUUAUUGUUAGUCGUGUAUUUUUGUGAAGCAGUUGAUAGGACACCAUCAUCAAGGAGUCAUUGUAUGGCCAAGAAUCAGACAGCAAAAACUGUUUCUUCAAAAAAUUUUGCCUAUCGUCAUCAUUUUGGGAACGCUACAGAAAAAUCAAAUCAAGAUAACAACUACGAAUGCAUAUACAUGAAGAGAUAUUUGGCAGCCAUUUCUGCUUUGACAAAUGACAGUCGAGCGGGUCAGUUGUCAAGACAUGUUGGUAAGAUGUUGAUACCAAUGAAGAUUAAAGAAGAUUGGUUUUGGGAGGAUAAUUUAGAAGACGACUUGAAAAACUGGUUCUCAAAUAUGGAUAGAUCUCUCAAUUAAGUAGUGUUAAGUAUAUUGUGUAAACUUUUAGUUUUUAGAUUUGUGUGUUUUGGGCUUAGUUGUAUUGUGAAUAGGUAAGGCUUUUGUUAUUAAAUAAAAUAUAUAAAAAUAUAAAAAUCUCAAUCGAUGUUUUCUUAUAAAUUUGUUAAGACUUAAAGCUAACAUGGUUUGUGAAUGGGAUACGAUAAAGUUAUUUUGGUCAAUAUAGAAAAUAUUUAGUUUCUCAAUAUAGACAGUAGUAAAUAGGUGUUUAUUUCAAAUAUGUAAUAUUAUUAAAAUAUAAGCCUCAAAUCUCUCGUCUAAGUAUCCAAUAAAUGUACCAAAAACAAAA